Molecule: ribosomal RNA, 631 nt
Filed under: uncultured Pelagibacterales bacterium
Lineage: Bacteria; Pseudomonadati; Pseudomonadota; Alphaproteobacteria; Candidatus Pelagibacterales
Description: bacterial SSU rRNA
Rfam family: Bacterial small subunit ribosomal RNA
Source: RNAcentral
AAGUCGAACGCAGUAGCAAUACUGAGUGGCAGACGGGUGAGUAACAUGUGGGAAUCUGCCUUGUGGUUCAGGACAACAUUGGGAAACCGAUGCUAAUACUGGAUAAGCCCUUACGGGGAAAGUUUUAAUGCCAUAAGAUGAGCCCGCAUUUGAUUAGUUAGUUGGUGAGGUAAUGGCUCACCAAGACAAUGAUCAAUAGCUGAUCUGAGAGGAUGAUCAGCCACACUGGGACUGAGACACGGCCCAGACUCCUACGGGAGGCAGCAGUGGGGAAUCUUGCACAAUGGAGGAAACUCUGAUGCAGCGAUGCCGCGUGAGUGAAGAAGGCCUUUGGGUUGUAAAGCUCUUUUGUAGGGGAAGAUAAUGACUGUACCCUAAGAAUAAGGUCCGGCUAACUUCGUGCCAGCAGCCGCGGUAAUACGAAGGGACCUAGCGUAGUUCGGAAUUACUGGGCGUAAAGCGCGCGUAGGCCGUUGAGUUAGUUAAUUGUGAAAUCCCAAAGCUUAACUUUGGAACUGCAAUUAAAACUGCUCGACUAGAGUUUGAUAGAGGAAAGCGGAAUACAUAGUGUAGAGGUGAAAUUCGUAGAUAUUAUGUAGAACACCAGUUGCGAAGGCGGCUUUCUGGAUCA